RNAcentral lists this non-coding RNA (28 nucleotides) under Mus musculus (house mouse). Lineage: Eukaryota; Metazoa; Chordata; Mammalia; Rodentia; Muridae. The record is from RNAcentral.
UAAGAUAGGUGUUGGAGAUGUCCUGUGU